UACAGAGGGUGCAAGCGUUGUUCGGAUUCACUGGGCGUAAAGGGUGCGUAGGUGGCCAGGUAAGUUUGGUGUGAAAGCUCGGAGCUUAACUCCGAAAAGUCAUUGAAUACUAUCUGGCUGGAGGGUCGGAGGGAGACUGGAAUUCUCGGUGUAGCAGUGAAUGCGUAGAUAUCGAGAGGAACACCAGUGGCGAAGGCGAGUCUCUGGACGACUCCUGACACUGAGGCACGAAAGCUAGGGAGCAAACCAGG
RNAcentral lists this ribosomal RNA (251 nucleotides) under uncultured bacterium. RNAcentral's name for it is "partial 16S ribosomal RNA". It matches the Rfam family "Bacterial small subunit ribosomal RNA", at positions 524 to 777 of the family's 1533-position model. The record is from RNAcentral.